RNAcentral lists this ribosomal RNA (279 nucleotides) under uncultured bacterium. RNAcentral's name for it is "partial 16S ribosomal RNA". It matches the Rfam family "Bacterial small subunit ribosomal RNA", at positions 506 to 784 of the family's 1533-position model. The record is from RNAcentral.
UGCCAGCCUCCGCGGUAAUACGGAUUGUCCGAUCGUUAUCCGGAAUCAUUGGGUUUAAAGGGUCCGUAGGCGGGAAUCUAAGUCAGUGGUGAAAUCUUGCAGCUCAACUGUAAAAUUGCCAUUGAUACUGGAUUUCUUGAAUUAGUGUGAAGUGAUUAGAAUGUGUAGUGUAGCGGUGAAAUGCAUAGAUAUUACACAGAAUACCAAUUGCGAAGGCAGAUCACUAACACUAUAUUGACGCUGAGGUGCGAAAGUGUGGGGAGCAAACAGGAUUAGAUA